CCAUCAACUGCAUCGUUCCAAGGGGCGGACCCCCUCCCCCAACAGACUCGCGGCCGCUCGAUCGAGACGGGUCCGAGGGAGGAGAGCGACCGGCUCCCUCCUCUCCAGCGAGGCUUGGGUUUGAAGUUCACCGGGUACCAACGGGAUGACCACGACGAGUCGCUCUGCGGCACGCCGGCACACCCACUUGCAGUUCAGCACGCGGCGACCACCUCCACGAAGUGGGUGCUCCGGACCGCCACCGCCGGCGCCGUGCCCUUGCCUUCCCCGCUGGAUGUAGUCCCGAUCUGGUUCCCCUCCCCCAAGCCGUACCUCGACGAGCUCUUCCCUGUGUGCUAGUACUGGUGGACUACAGCGACUGCGGCAGCCAAAAACACCAGUCGUUGUUCAGUGUUGGAUCCGCCUUCCCCCUGUUUGCAGCUCCUUUGAAUACUUUUUGCAGCUCACUGAAUAUAUUUUUGCAGCUCAUUGUGAAAA
Molecule: long non-coding RNA, 477 nt
Organism: Triticum dicoccoides
Lineage: Eukaryota; Viridiplantae; Streptophyta; Magnoliopsida; Poales; Poaceae
Exons: 2
Source: RefSeq, a predicted model, not a curated record